UACGUAAGGCGCAAGCGUUGUCCGGAAUUAUUGGGCGUAAAGAGCUCGUAGGCGGUCUGUCACGUCGGAAGUGAAAACCCGGGGCUUAACCCCGGGCUUGCUUUCGAUACGGGCAGACUAGAGUGUGGUAGGGGAGACUGGAAUUCCUGGUGUAGCGGUGAAAUGCGCAGAUAUCAGGAGGAACACCGGUGGCGAAGGCGGGUCUCUGGGCCACUACUGACGCUGAGGAGCGAAAGCGUGGGGAGCGAACAGG
This 253-nucleotide ribosomal RNA is filed under the name uncultured bacterium. RNAcentral's name for it is "partial 16S ribosomal RNA". It matches the Rfam family "Bacterial small subunit ribosomal RNA", at positions 524 to 776 of the family's 1533-position model. The record is from RNAcentral.